UAGGGAAUCUUCCGCAAUGGACGCAAGUCUGACGGAGCAACGCCGCGUGAGUGAAGAAGGAUUUCGGUUCGUAAAACUCUGUUGUUAGAGAAGAACAGCGCAUAGAGUAACUGUUAUGCGUGUGACGGUAUCUAACCAGAAAGCCACGGCUAACUACGUGCCAGCAGCCGCGGUAAUACGUAGGUGGCAAGCGUUGUCCGGAUUUAUUGGGCGUAAAGCGAGCGCAGGCGGUCAAUUAAGUCUGAUGUGAAAGCCCCCGGCUCAACCGGGGAGGGUCAUUGGAAACUGGUUGACGUGAGUGCAGAAGAGGAGAGUGGAAUUCCAUGUGUAGCGGUGAAAUGCGUAGAUAUAGGGAGGAACACCAGUGGCGAAGGCGACUCUCUGGUCUGUAACUGACGCUGAGGUUCGAAAGCGUGGGUAGCAAACAGG
RNAcentral lists this ribosomal RNA (429 nucleotides) under Bacteroidota bacterium. RNAcentral's name for it is "Bacteroidetes bacterium partial 16S ribosomal RNA". It matches the Rfam family "Bacterial small subunit ribosomal RNA", at positions 355 to 776 of the family's 1533-position model. The record is from RNAcentral. Lineage: Bacteria; Pseudomonadati; Bacteroidota.